UUUAACCUUGAUUUAUUUUUUAAAUGUUUAUAUUAUUUGAAUAAAACAUUCAAAUAAUAUAAAAAAUAAUAUAUAUAUUGACAUGGAUUAAACAAAGAUAUAUAUUAUUUUAUGUUGUAUAAACAAAUUGGCAAAAUAGAGAUGGAAGAUAAAAAUAUGGUCAAAGUAAUAAGAGUCUAUGGUGGAUGCCUAGGAGCUUUAAGGCGAAGAAGGUCGUGGUAAGCUGCGAAAAGCUUGGGGG
Molecule: unclassified non-coding RNA, 241 nt
Filed under: uncultured Borrelia sp.
Lineage: Bacteria; Pseudomonadati; Spirochaetota; Spirochaetia; Spirochaetales; Borreliaceae
Description: partial contains 5S-23S ribosomal RNA intergenic spacer and 23S ribosomal RNA
Rfam family: Bacterial large subunit ribosomal RNA (bases 159-241)
Source: RNAcentral